RNAcentral lists this unclassified non-coding RNA (241 nucleotides) under Paraglomus occultum. RNAcentral's name for it is "partial contains 5.8S ribosomal RNA and internal transcribed spacer 2". Lineage: Eukaryota; Fungi; Glomeromycota; Glomeromycetes; Paraglomerales; Paraglomeraceae. The record is from RNAcentral.
GUGAAUCAUCGAAUUUUUGAACGCAAAUUGCGCCUUUUUCGGAUGGGGUGUCUGUUUGAGGGCACCAUUUAACAAAUAAUGUGCAGGGUUUUUUGUUGCACACGUUGAUGAGCUUUCCAGUAAUUUUAAAUUUUUGGUGGCGCAUAAUGAACAGCGUGCUAGUUUUUUUCAGUUCGAGUGUAUUAAUAUUUUUUCUUACUUUGGUUGUGAUAAGUGUGAUCGCCCAAUGGGUUUGGCAAUU